Molecule: ribosomal RNA, 484 nt
Filed under: uncultured bacterium
Lineage: Bacteria
Description: partial 16S ribosomal RNA
Rfam family: Bacterial small subunit ribosomal RNA
Source: RNAcentral
AGUGAACGCUGGCGGCAGGCCUAACACAUGCAAGUCGAGCGGCAGCGCGGGGGCAACCCUGGCGGCGAGCGGCGGACGGGUGAGGAAUUCGUCGGAAUCUGCCUUUUUGUGGGGGAUAACGUAGGGAAACUUACGCUAAUACCGCAUACGUCCUACGGGAGAAAGUGGGGGACCGCAAGGCCUCACGCAGAAAGAUGAGCCGACGACCGAUUAGCUAGUUGGUGGGGUAAAGGCCCACCAAGGCGACGAUCGGUAGCUGGUCUGAGAGGAUGAUCAGCCACACUGGGACUGAGACAAGGCCCAGACUCCUACGGGAGGCAGCAGUGGGGAAUAUUGGACAAUGGGCGCAAGCCUGAUCCAGCCAUGCCGCGUGUGUGAAGAAGGCCUUCGGGUUGUAAAGCACUUUUGUCCGGAAAGAAAUCCCUGGAGCUAAUACCUUCGGGGGAUGACGGUACCGGAAGAAUAAGCACCGGCUAACUUCGUG